This 495-nucleotide long non-coding RNA is filed under the name Cicer arietinum (chickpea). Its description in RNAcentral is "long non-coding RNA (CARI_LNC002998)". Lineage: Eukaryota; Viridiplantae; Streptophyta; Magnoliopsida; Fabales; Fabaceae. The record is from RNAcentral.
UUUGAAUCACAAAUUCCAAAUACAUAAAUAAACUAAGUUCAUUUAUUUAACAUCUUCAAAUCGAGUCUUCCUUUUUUGAACUUUCAUCUUAGUCACUUAUGACGAAGUCUUUCAUAUUUAGGAGUCUACCUUUUGACUUGUUAGACGCAACCAAAGCAAAUGAGAUAAUGCAAUCUUCCCUUUUCUUUAAUCGUUUUGAUUUUUUAGAUGCGACUUUCUCUAAAUAUCGAGUUGGAUAUAUCAUUUUCCAAAGGUAGAUCUUUGAUAAAAUUGUAGGUGCUCCAACCUUUCUUCGUUAUUACUUUUAGAUUUCCAUCCAAUUCAAAGGAUUCAAACAAAACGAGGCACAAGCCCUUCAAUGCUCUUUUUCUUACUUUCUCCUUGUAUUCAAGGUACUUGGUGAAAGAAGGAGACAUUUAUACCCAAGGGUUCCAAAAGUGAAUCUUUGAAUGCAUUUUGUGAAAUUUCUUGGAUAAUACAUCUUGUUGGCUGUAG